UGYRKUCGUGCGGCAGCGGAAGUARCUUGCUACUUUGCCGGCGAGCGGYGGACGGKUGAGUAAUGUCUGGGAAACUGCCUGAUGGAGGGGGAUAACUACUGGAAACGGUAGCUAAUACCGCAUGACCUCGAAAGAGCAAAGUGGGGGAUCUUCGGACCUCACGCCAUCGGAUGUGCCCAGAUGGGAUUAGCUAGUAGGUGAGGUAAUGGCUCACCUAGGCGACGAUCCCUAGCUGGUCUGAGAGGAUGACCAGCCACACUGGAACUGAGACACGRUCCARAUCUCUACGGGAGGCAGCAGUGGGGAAUAUUGCACAAUGGGCGCAAGCCUGAUGCAGCCAUGCCGCGUGUGUGAAGAAGGCCUUAGGGUUGUAAAGCACUUUCAGCGAGGAGGAAGGCAUCAYACUUAAUACGUGUGGUGAUUGACGUUACUCGCAGAAGAAGCACCGGCUAACUCCGUGCCAGCAGCCGCGGUAAUACGGAGGGUGCAAGCGUUAAUCGGAAUUACUGGGCGUAAAGCGCACGCAGGCGGUUUGUUAAGUCAGAUGUGAAAUCCCCGCGCUUAACGUGGGAACUGCAUUUGAAACUGGCAAGCUAGAGUCUUGUAGAGGGGGGUAGAAUUCCAGGUGUAGCGGUGAAAUGCGUAGAGAUCUGGAGGAAUACCGGUGGCGAAGGCGGCCCCCUGGACAAAGACUGACGCUCAGGUGCGAAAGCGUGGGGAGCAACAGGAUUAGAUACCCUGGUAGUCCACGCUGUAAACGAUGUCGACUUGGAGGUUGUGCCCUUGAGGCGUGGCUUCCGGAGCUACGCGUAAGUCGACCGCUGGGGAGUACGGCCGCAGGUUAAAACUCAAUGAUUGACGGGGGCCCGCMAAGCGGUGGGAGCAUGUGGUUAAUUCGAU
RNAcentral lists this ribosomal RNA (900 nucleotides) under Rahnella aquatilis. RNAcentral describes it as "bacterial SSU rRNA". It matches the Rfam family "Bacterial small subunit ribosomal RNA", at positions 56 to 955 of the family's 1533-position model. The record is from RNAcentral. Lineage: Bacteria; Pseudomonadati; Pseudomonadota; Gammaproteobacteria; Enterobacterales; Yersiniaceae.